UAGGAGUCGGACCUGCCCAGUGAAUAUUUCAACGGCCGCGGUACUCUGACCGUGCAAAGGUAGCAUAAUCAUUUGCCUUAUAAUUGAAGGCUUGUAUGAAUGGUUUGACAAGAAUAAAGCUGUCUCUUUACAAAUAAGUAUAAUUUUAUUUACAGGUGAAGAAGCCUGUAUUAUAUUGAAAGACAAGAAGACCCUAUCGAGCUUUAAAUAAAUUAAUAAAAAGUAAAUUGUAUUUAUAUUGAGUUAGUUAUUAAAAAUUUUAGUUGGGGCGACUAAGGAACAAUCAAAGCUUCCUAAAAAAUUUUAAGUGCUUUCAAGUUGUGAUCCAAAAAUUUUGAUUAAAGGAAUUAGUUACCGUAGGGAUAACAGCAUUAUCUUUUUUAAGAGUUCAAAUCGAAAAAAAGGUUUGUGACCUCGAUGUUGGACCAGAAUAUCCUGAAGAUGCAGCCGUCUUCAAGGGUUGGUCUGUUCGACCAUUAAAAUUCUACGUGAUCUGAGUUCAGACCGGCGUGAGCCAGGUCAGUUUCUAUCUUCAAUUUUUAAUGUGGACCUAGUACGAAAGGAUUGGUCUAUAAUAAUAAUUGUUUUUCCUGAUGUAGUAUAAAAACUUAUUAAGUUAUUAGGUGGAAAAGAUCAAAUUAGCAAAGAUAAUGCAAUUGACUUAGGAUCAAUAGACAUAGGUGAAAUUCCUUUAUUUGAUAUAAAUAUAAAGGUGGCAGAUUAA
This is a ribosomal RNA of 724 nucleotides. The stretch from base 1 to 572 matches the Rfam family "Bacterial large subunit ribosomal RNA", at positions 1846 to 2925 of the family's 2925-position model.